GAACAACCAUCGACGACCAGCAUACGUUCAGCCAUCAAUCGACGAACACGUUCAACAUACGUUCAGCCAUCAAUCGACCAGCAUACGUUCAGCCAUCAGCCGCAAUCAAUCGACGAACAAGAACAACCAUCGAAGACCAUCAUACGUUCAGCCAUCAGAUGAUAAAAAUGAUAGUGGUGUUUGAUUGUUUGGAAUUGAAGAUCUUGAGAAAGAAAUGCAUAUGGGAACUUGAAUGUUGA
RNAcentral lists this long non-coding RNA (239 nucleotides) under Helianthus annuus (common sunflower). RNAcentral's name for it is "sRNA HanXRQr2_Chr07g0300441". Lineage: Eukaryota; Viridiplantae; Streptophyta; Magnoliopsida; Asterales; Asteraceae. The record is from RNAcentral.